This 576-nucleotide ribosomal RNA is filed under the name uncultured bacterium. RNAcentral's name for it is "bacterial SSU rRNA". It matches the Rfam family "Bacterial small subunit ribosomal RNA", at positions 102 to 680 of the family's 1533-position model. The record is from RNAcentral.
ACGGGUGAGUAAUCCGUAGGAACUUACCCUUCAGAGGGGGAUAACCAGGGGAAACCCUGGCUAAUACCGCGUAAUCUCGAGAGAGCAAAGCUGCCGCAAGGUGGCGCUGAAGGAGAGGCCUGCGUCCGAUUAGCUGGUUGGUGGGGUAAGAGCUCACCAAGGCGACGAUCGGUAACUGGUCUGAGAGGACGACCAGUCACACUGGGACUGAGACACGGCCCAGACUCCUACGGGAGGCAGCAGUGGGGAAUAUUGGACAAUGGGGGAAACCCUGAUCCAGCGAUGCCGCGUGGGUGAAGAAGGCCUUCGGGUUGUAAAGCCCUUUAGGUUAGGAAGAAGGGGUAGUGGGGAUAAUCCAUUAUCUUUGACGGUACUAACAGAAUAAGCACCGGCAAACUCUGUGCCAGCAGCCGCGGUAAUACAGAGGGUGCGAGCGUUAAUCGGAUUUACUGGGCGUAAAGGGCACGUAGGCGGUGAAAUGGGUGGGAUGUGAAAGCCCCAGGCUCAACCUGGGAAGUGCAUCGCAAACUAUUUGACUGGAGUAUAAGAGAGGGUGGCGGAAUUUCCGGUGUAGCG